This 485-nucleotide ribosomal RNA is filed under the name uncultured Actinomycetales bacterium. Its description in RNAcentral is "bacterial SSU rRNA". It matches the Rfam family "Bacterial small subunit ribosomal RNA", at positions 95 to 607 of the family's 1533-position model. Lineage: Bacteria; Bacillati; Actinomycetota; Actinomycetes; Actinomycetales. The record is from RNAcentral.
GUGGCGUACGGGUGAGUAACACGUGGAUCAUCUACCUUUUAGUGGGGAAUACCGCUGGGAAACCGGUGACAAUACCGCAUAAUCCCGAGAGGGGAAAGCCGCAAGGCGCUGAAAGAGGAGUCCGCGGUCGAUUAGCUAGUUGGUAAGGUAAUGGCUUACCAAGGCUGUGAUCGAUAGCCGGCCUGAGAGGGCACACGGCCACACUGGCACUGAAACACGGCCCAGACUCCUACGGGAGGCAGCAGUGGGGAAUAUUGCACAAUGGGCGCAAGCCUGAUGCAGCGACGCCGCGUGAGGGAUGACGGCCUUCGGGUUGUAAACCUCUUUCGCCAGGGACGAAGCGCGAGUGACGGUACCUGGAUAAGAAGCACCGGCUAACUACGUGCCAGUAGCCGCGGUAAUACGUAGGGUGCGAGCGUUGUCCGGAAUUAUUGGGCGUAAAGAGCUCGUAGGCGGUUUGUCGCGUCGGCUGUGAAAUCUGGAGG